Molecule: transfer RNA, 71 nt
Filed under: Actinomycetota bacterium
Lineage: Bacteria; Bacillati; Actinomycetota
Also listed under: 1 other name
Description: tRNA-OTHER
Rfam family: tRNA
About the family: Transfer RNA (tRNA) molecules are approximately 80 nucleotides in length.
Source: RNAcentral
CCCCCAUGGACUAGCGGCCGAGGUCGCCACCUUCUCGGGUGGAGGCACGGGUUCGAAUCCCGUUGGGGGCA